Molecule: ribosomal RNA, 1021 nt
Filed under: Mycobacterium gordonae
Lineage: Bacteria; Bacillati; Actinomycetota; Actinomycetes; Mycobacteriales; Mycobacteriaceae
Description: bacterial SSU rRNA
Rfam family: Bacterial small subunit ribosomal RNA
Source: RNAcentral
AUUGCACAAUGGGCGAAAGCCUGAUGCAGCGACGCCGCGUGGGGGAUGACGGCCUUCGGGUUGUAAACCUCUUUCACCAUCGACGAAGGUCCGGGUUUUCUCGGGCUGACGGUAGGUGGAGAAGAAGCACCGGCCAACUACGUGCCAGCAGCCGCGGUAAUACGUAGGGUGCGAGCGUUGUCCGGAAUUACUGGGCGUAAAGAGCUCGUAGGUGGUUUGUCGCGUUGUUCGUGAAAUCUCACGGCUUAACUGUGAGCGUGCGGGCGAUACGGGCAGACUUGAGUACUGCAGGGGAGACUGGAAUUCCUGGUGUAGCGGUGGAAUGCGCAGAUAUCAGGAGGAACACCGGUGGCGAAGGCGGGUCUCUGGGCAGUAACUGACGCUGAGGAGCGAAAGCGUGGGGAGCGAACAGGAUUAGAUACCCUGGUAGUCCACGCCGUAAACGGUGGGUACUAGGUGUGGGUUUCCUUCCUUGGGAUCCGUGCCGUAGCUAACGCAUUAAGUACCCCGCCUGGGGAGUACGGCCGCAAGGCUAAAACUCAAAGAAAUUGACGGGGGCCCGCACAAGCGGCGGAGCAUGUGGAUUAAUUCGAUGCAACGCGAAGAACCUUACCUGGGUUUGACAUGCACAGGACGCCGGCAGAGAUGUCGGUUCCCUUGUGGCCUGUGUGCAGGUGGUGCAUGGCUGUCGUCAGCUCGUGUCGUGAGAUGUUGGGUUAAGUCCCGCAACGAGCGCAACCCUUGUCUCAUGUUGCCAGCGGGUAAUGCCGGGGACUCGUGAGAGACUGCCGGGGUCAACUCGGAGGAAGGUGGGGAUGACGUCAAGUCAUCAUGCCCCUUAUGUCCAGGGCUUCACACAUGCUACAAUGGCCGGUACAAAGGGCUGCGAUGCCGCGAGGUUAAGCGAAUCCUUUUAAAGCCGGUCUCAGUUCGGAUCGGGGUCUGCAACUCGACCCCGUGAAGUCGGAGUCGCUAGUAAUCGCAGAUCAGCAACGCUGCGGUGAAUACGUUCCCGGGCCUU